AGAGUUUGAUCCUGGCUCAGAACGAACGCUGGCGGCAGGCCUAACACAUGCAAGUCGAACGCUGCAGCAAUGCAGAGUGGCAGACGGGUGAGUAACGCGUGGGAACCUUCCCAGUGGUACGGAAUAGCUCAGGGAAACUUGAGGUAAUACCGUAUAAGCCCCUAGGGGGAAAGAUUUAUCGCCAUUGGAUGGGCCCGCGUCGGAUUAGCUAGUUGGUGAGGUAACGGCUCACCAAGGCAACGAUCCGUAGCUGGUUUGAGAGAAUGACCAGCCACACUGGGACUGAGACACGGCCCAGACUCCUACGGGAGGCAGCAGUGGGGAAUCUUGGACAAUGGGCGCAAGCCUGAUCCAGCCAUGCCGCGUGAGUGACGAAGGCCUUAGGGUUGUAAAGCUCUUUUGGCGGGGACGAUAAUGACGGUACCCGCAGAAUAAGUCCCGGCUAACUUCGUGCCAGC
Molecule: ribosomal RNA, 458 nt
Filed under: uncultured bacterium
Lineage: Bacteria
Description: bacterial SSU rRNA
Rfam family: Bacterial small subunit ribosomal RNA
Source: RNAcentral